RNAcentral lists this ribosomal RNA (750 nucleotides) under uncultured bacterium. RNAcentral's name for it is "bacterial SSU rRNA". It matches the Rfam family "Bacterial small subunit ribosomal RNA", at positions 43 to 775 of the family's 1533-position model. The record is from RNAcentral.
CAGGCCUAACACAUGCAAGUCGAACGAGAGCGACCGGUGCUUGCACUGGUCAAUCUAGUGGCGAACGGGUGAGUAACACGUGGGUAACCUGCCCAUCAGAGGGGGAUAACAUUCGGAAACGGAUGCUAAAACCGCACAGGUCUUCGAACCGCAUGGUUUGAAGAGGAAAAGAGGCGCAAGCUUCUGCUGAUGGAUGGACCCGCGGUGCAUUAGCUAGUUGGUGAGGUAACGGCUCACCAAGGCCGUGAUGCAUAGCCGACCUGAGAGGGUGAUCGGCCACAUUGGGACUGAGACACGGCCAAACUCCUACGGGAGGCAGCAGUAGGGAAUCUUCCGCAAUGGACGCAAGUCUGACGGGGCAACGCCGCGUGAGUGAAGAAGGUUUUCGGAUCGUAAAACUCUGUUGUUAGAGAAGAACAAGUGCUAGAGUAACUGUUAGCGCCUUGACGGUAUCUAACCAGAAAGCCACGGCUAACUACGUGCCAGCAGCCGCGGUAAUACGUAGGUGGCAAGCGUUGUCCGGAUUUAUUGGGCGUAAAGCGAGCGCAGGCGGUUCCUUAAGUCUGAUGUGAAAGCCCCCGGCUCAACCGGGGAGGGUCAUUGGAAACUGGGGAACUUGAGUGCAGAAGAGGAGAGUGGAAUUCCAUGUGUAGCGGUGAAAUGCGUAGAUAUAUGGAGGAACACCAGUGGCGAAGGCGACUCUCUGGUCUGUAACUGACGCUGAGGCUCGAAAGCGUGGGUAGCAAACAG